This 516-nucleotide ribosomal RNA is filed under the name uncultured bacterium. Its description in RNAcentral is "partial 16S ribosomal RNA". It matches the Rfam family "Bacterial small subunit ribosomal RNA", at positions 28 to 523 of the family's 1533-position model. The record is from RNAcentral.
GACGAACGCUGGCGGCGUGCCUAACACAUGCAAGUCGAACGGAGAUUUUAUUUAUGAAAUCUUAGUGGCGAACGGGCGAGUAACGCGUAGACAACCUGCCUUUUAGAUGGGGACAACACCGCGAAAGUGGUGCUAAUACCGAAUGUUGUAUUUUGGUCGCAUGAUUGAGAUACUAAAGAUGGCCUCUAUUUAUAAGCUAUCACUAAAAGAUGGGUCUGCGUCUGAUUAGCUAGUUGGUGAGGUAAUGGCUCACCAAGGCGACGAUCAGUAGCCGGUCUGAGAGGAUGAACGGCCACACUGGGACUGAGACACGGCCCAGACUCCUACGGGAGGCAGCAGUGGGGAAUCUUCCGCAAUGGACGAAAGUCUGACGGAGCAACGCCGCGUGAGUGAAGAAGGUUUUCGGAUCGUAAAACUCUGUUUUCAGGGACGAAUGUGCGAUGUGUAAAUAAUGCAUUGUAAUGACGGUACCUGAGUAGAAAGCCACGGCUAACUACGUGCCAGCAGCCGCAGUAA